GACAGUUUUAAUUCUCGGGGGUACAUAAACACCGAAUUACUUGUAUUUGUAUAUUAAUAUAUUUUAUAUAUCUUUUUACUGAAUAUCCUUUUUAUUUCGUAUUAACAUAUAUUACUAAAAAUAUUUAUAUAUUUUUUAUGAAUAAAAAAUAAUGUGAUAUUUUAAUAAAACAUUUAGUUCAUAAUCAUAUUAAAUGUUUCAACAAAAAUAACACUAUUUUUUUAAGUGAAACAUCAGAAAAUAUUAUUUC
This 250-nucleotide long non-coding RNA is filed under the name Vigna radiata. Its description in RNAcentral is "long non-coding RNA (VRAD_LNC005219)". Lineage: Eukaryota; Viridiplantae; Streptophyta; Magnoliopsida; Fabales; Fabaceae. The record is from RNAcentral.